RNAcentral lists this ribosomal RNA (301 nucleotides) under uncultured bacterium. Its description in RNAcentral is "partial 16S ribosomal RNA". It matches the Rfam family "Bacterial small subunit ribosomal RNA", at positions 509 to 809 of the family's 1533-position model. The record is from RNAcentral.
CAGCAGCCGCGGUAAUACGAAGGGGGCUAGCGUUGUUCGGAAUUACUGGGCGUAAAGGGCGCGUAGGCGGCCAUUCAAGUUAGAUGUGAAAGCCCUGGGCUCAACCUAGGAAUUGCAUUUGAUACUGUUUGGCUUGAGUUCGGGAGAGGUGAGUGGAAUUCCCAGUGUAGAGGUGAAAUUCGUAGAUAUUGGGAAGAACACCAGUGGCGAAGGCGGCUCACUGGACCGACACUGACGCUGAGGCGCGAAAGCGUGGGGAGCAAACAGGAUUAGAUACCCCUGUAGUCCCUGUCUCUUAUAA